This 277-nucleotide ribosomal RNA is filed under the name uncultured Paracoccaceae bacterium. RNAcentral describes it as "uncultured Rhodobacteraceae bacterium partial 16S ribosomal RNA". It matches the Rfam family "Bacterial small subunit ribosomal RNA", at positions 50 to 353 of the family's 1533-position model. The record is from RNAcentral. Lineage: Bacteria; Pseudomonadati; Pseudomonadota; Alphaproteobacteria; Rhodobacterales; Paracoccaceae.
GCUACACAUGCAAGUCGAGCGCUCACUUCGGUGGGAGCGGCGGACGGGUUAGUAACGCGUGGGAACAUACCCUUCACUAAGGAAUAGCCUCUGGAAACGGAGAGUAAUACCUUAUACGCCCUUCGGGGGAAAGAUUUAUCGGUGAAGGAUCGGCCCGCGUUAGAUUAGAUAGUUGGUGGGGUAACGGCCUACCAAGUCUACGAUCUAUAGCUGGUUUGAGAGGAUGAUCAGCAACACUGGGACUGAGACACGGCCCAGACUCCUACGGGAGGCAGCA